GAUCGUUAAGGUCCGUGCUGUAAAUUUUAGCUUUGCUUGGUUUCUACAUGUUAGAUAAUUCGAGAAAAAAUUUUAUAAAGUAAAAAUAUGGAUAUUCUCAGUAGAAGAUUUUUAAAUCAGAAAACUUCGGGUUUAAGGCUUAAGAUAAAGAAUGGAAAAUUAUGUGCCAGCAUCCGCGGUUAUACAUAAGUUCUAAGUUAAAAAAUUUAUAUGGGAGAGAUUAGUGAAAUUUUAAAAAUUUUUGUUUAUUUUUUAAGGUAGAAUUUAAAAAUAGAUUAAUAUUUUCAUAAUCACUUGAAUUUAAAAGAAUCGUAAAGGACCAGGAUUAGAUACCCUGUUACUGAUUUUUGUAUUCCUAGAUUAGUAUUUUUUGUGAAAUUUAACGGAUUUGGCGGCAAAACAGCCUUUUAGAGGAACCUGCCCUUUAAUCGACGGUCCACGAAUUACCAAACUUCUUUUUGAUGUCAGUUUGUAUACCGCUGUUGUCAGUUAGUUUCUUUAGAAAUCUAUCAAUAUCAAUAAAAUUGUGGACUUCAAGUAAAGGUGCAGCUUAUAGAGAAGGUUGAGGUGGGUUACAUUUGAGUUGAACAACUACGAAUAAAGAAAUGAAAAAUUUUUUGAAGGUGGAUUUAAAAGUAAGAUUUUGUAGAUCUGAUGUAAGGAAAUGUUUUGUGUACAAACCGCCCGUCGCUCUUAUUUUAUAAGAUAAGUCGUAACAAGGUAAGUGUAACGGAAGUUGUACUUGAUUGAAA
This 752-nucleotide non-coding RNA is filed under the name Paralepas cf. quadrata. Lineage: Eukaryota; Metazoa; Arthropoda; Thecostraca; Heteralepadidae. The record is from RNAcentral.